Molecule: ribosomal RNA, 476 nt
Filed under: uncultured organism
Description: partial 16S ribosomal RNA
Rfam family: Bacterial small subunit ribosomal RNA
Source: RNAcentral
ACACUCCUACGGGAGGCAGCAGUGGGGAAUAUUGCACAAUGGGCGCAAGCCUGAUGCAGCCAUGCCGCGUGUAUGAAGAAGGCCUUCGGGUUGUAAAGUACUUUCAGCGGGGAGGAAGGCGAUAAGGUUAAUAACCUUGUUGAUUGACGUUACCCGCAGAAGAAGCACCGGCUAACUCCGUGCCAGCAGCCGCGGUAAUACGGAGGGUGCAAGCGUUAAUCGGAAUUACUGGGCGUAAAGCGCACGCAGGCGGUCUGUCAAGUCGGAUGUGAAAUCCCCGGGCUCAACCUGGGAACUGCAUUCGAAACUGGCAGGCUAGAGUCUUGUAGAGGGGGGUAGAAUUCCAGGUGUAGCGGUGAAAUGCGUAGAGAUCUGGAGGAAUACCGGUGGCGAAGGCGGCCCCCUGGACAAAGACUGACGCUCAGGUGCGAAAGCGUGGGGAGCAAACAGGAUUAGAAACCCCGGUAGUCCCAUGA